UACGUAGGGGGCAAGCGUUGUCCGGAUUUACUGGGCGUAAAGCGCACGUAGGCGGCUUUGUAAGUCAGAGGUGAAAUCCCGGGGCUCAACUCCGGAACUGCCUUUGAGACUGCAUCGCUUGAAUCCAGGAGAGGUGAGUGGAAUUCCGAGUGUAGAGGUGAAAUUCGUAGAUAUUCGGAAGAACACCAGUGGCGAAGGCGGCUCACUGGACUGGUAUUGACGCUGAGGUGCGAAAGCGUGGGGAGCAAACAGG
Molecule: ribosomal RNA, 253 nt
Filed under: uncultured bacterium
Lineage: Bacteria
Description: partial 16S ribosomal RNA
Rfam family: Bacterial small subunit ribosomal RNA
Source: RNAcentral